This 775-nucleotide ribosomal RNA is filed under the name uncultured Neocallimastigales. RNAcentral's name for it is "partial large subunit ribosomal RNA". It matches the Rfam family "Eukaryotic large subunit ribosomal RNA", at positions 24 to 635 of the family's 3401-position model. Lineage: Eukaryota; Fungi; Neocallimastigomycota; Neocallimastigomycetes; Neocallimastigales. The record is from RNAcentral.
UAUCUCUGUAGAGUCUGCAUAUCAAUAAGCGGAGGAAAAGAAACUAACUAGGAUUCCCUUAGUAACGGCGAGUGAAGCGGGAAGAGCUCAAAUUUGAAAUCUUCAAGGUUUUACCUUGAUCGAAUUGUAGUUUAAAGAAGUGUUUUCUGUUGGAUGUUUUGGUAAAAGUUCUUUGGAAUAGGACAUCAUAGAGGGUGAGAAUCCCGUAUUUGACCAUUACUUUCCAGCUUUGUGAUACACUUUCAAAGAGUCGGAUUGUUUGGGAAUGCAGUCCAAAAUGGGUGGUAAAUUUCAUCUAAAGCUAAAUAUUGGCGAGAGACCGAUAGCGAACAAGUACCGUGAGGGAAAGAUGAAAAGAACUUUGAAAAGAGAGUUAAACAGUACGUGAAAUUGUCAAAAGGGAAGCGUUUGACACCAGUGUUGUUUUCUCGAAAAUCAAUUAAAAAAGGCAGGAUUUUGUGUUGUAUUGACUUUAUCAGCUUUCUGCACUCUUUUCUUGUCUUUUUUAAUGCACUUUUCGUUUAACAAGUCAACAUCAAUUUCUUUUGUUGUAAAAGGGUCAUUGGAAGGUGGCUUUCUUUUCGGAGAAAGUGUUUAUAGCCUUUGGCCUCUGCAAUCGGAGAGAUGAGGUCUGCAGCGUAGAUCCUUCGGGGUUAGAUACACUUGUGCUAAGUUAUAGCUUUCAUAGACAACUUGUUGACUAUGAUUAGUCAUGUCGCUUACUCGCUUAUGCUAUUUUACCUACGCUUAGGAUGUUGAAGAUGUAGCACAUCAU